Molecule: ribosomal RNA, 532 nt
Filed under: uncultured bacterium
Lineage: Bacteria
Description: bacterial SSU rRNA
Rfam family: Bacterial small subunit ribosomal RNA
Source: RNAcentral
UGGGGAAUCUUGGACAAUGGGGGCAACCCUGAUCCAGCCAUGCCGCGUGAGUGAUGAAGGCCUUAGGGUCGUAAAGCUCUUUCGCCUGUGAAGAUAAUGACGGUAGCCGGAGAAGAAGCCCCGGCUAACUCCGUGCCAGCAGCCGCGGUAAUACGGAGGGGGCUAGCGUUGUUCGGAAUUACUGGGCGUAAAGCGCGCGUAGGCGGACUGAUCAGUCAGGGGUGAAAUCCCGGGGCUCAACCCCGGAACUGCCUUUGAUACUGUCAGUCUUGAGUCCGGAAGAGGCGAGUGGAAUACCGAGUGUAGAGGUGAAAUUCGUAGAUAUUUGGAGGAACACCAGUGGCGAAGGCGGCUCACUGGCUCGAUACUGACGCUGAGGUGCGAAAGUGUGGGGAGCAAACAGGAUUAGAUACCCUGGUAGUCCACACCGUAAACGAUGAAUGCCAGUCGUCGGGUAGCAUGCUAUUCGGUGACACACCUAACGGAUUAAGCAUUCCGCCUGGGAGUACGGUCGCAAGAUUAAAAGCUCAAA